AUAGAGGAGGGGGGGAGGCGCACAUGCACUAGGGAGAAACACACUCACACACAUACUAGCGGCAGCCACAUUUUCACAGCCUGCUCUCCAGACUGACAGCAGCAAACGGAGUGGAGAGCCAGCACGGCUGAGCGAGGGAGGACUGGAAACAAGGGAGAGGGAAGGAGGGAAAGGACACUCACGAGGGAUUUGCCCCCUUAUUUCUCCUUUGUGCUUCCUCUUGAGCUGAACUUUGCUUUGCUGAAGGACCUGCACCCAGCUAUGGCAGCACUGGUGGGACGUGGGAACACCGUCUCCCUCUCAUCUUGCUCCUCUCAUGGCUGGACUACCCUCCUCUGGCUGCUGUUGACCCUCACAAGCCAAGUGUGGGGCUUCAACCUGGAUACGACCCACACUCUGCACAAGUUGGGAGACCACGGCACCUUCUUUGGUUUCUCUCUAGCACUCCACCAGCAGCUUACCCCUGAGCCUCAGAGCUGGAUCCUGGUGGGGGCGCCACAGGCAGCGGGGCUAGGUCCAUUGCGGGGCAGUCGACCAGGAGCCUUGUUCAGGUGUCCGAUCACACCAGAGGAGUAUGACUGCGAGAGGGUGGAUAUUGAUGGAGAAGUGAGUCUGGACAGAGAGAGCAAAGACAACCAGUGGCUGGGAGUGACUGUGAAAAGUCAGGGGAUUGGAGGGAAGGUGGUGACCUGCGCUCACCUGUACGAGCUCAGGCAACGUGUGCGUCAACCUUCGGAGACUCGUGACCCCAUUGGGCGCUGCUACGUCCUGAGUGAAGACCUGACGGAGCGAGAUGACCUGGACGGAGGCGAGUGGAAGUUCUGCGAGGGUCGACCCCAGGGACACGAGCAGUUUGGUUUCUGUCAGCAGGGCCUAUCCGUCAGCUUCACCCCAGACAACAACUUCAUUCUCUUUGGUGCUCCAGGAACAUACAACUGGAAAGGCGAGAUGCGCGUCCAGCUCCUAAACCAGACUAUGCUUGACCUCGGUUUCUAUGACGAUGGACCCUACGAGGUGGCAGAUCAGAAACAACUUAAUGCUCAGCUCAUCCCUGUGCCUUACCACAGUUACCUGGGGUUUUCUGUGGACUCAGCCUUUGGGAUAACGAGCCUCGGAGAGCUGACGUUUGUGGCGGGUGCACCCCGGGCCAACCACACAGGGGCGGUGGUGCUGUUGAGAAAGGAUAACGUGUACCGACUGGUGCCACAGCACAUUUUCUGGGGGGAGGAGCUGGCAUCCUCAUUUGGGUACUCGGUAGCUACGACGGAUCUGAACAAAGACGGCUGGACAGAUCUAAUUGUCGGAGCUCCUAACUUUUUUGACCGUAAGGCCGAGAUCGGUGGAGCCGUUUACGUGUACUUGAACCCCUUCGGUCACUGGGACGAUCACGCGCGACCGAUCCGUCUCAAUGGGACGUAUGACUCCAUGUUUGGGAUCACAGUCAGCAACAUUGGAGAUCUGGACCAGGAUGGAUAUGGAGAUAUUGCUGUCGGAGCGCCAUAUGAUGGUGACGGCAAAGUUUUUAUCUACAGAGGAUCACAUUCUGGAAUUGAGACGAAACCUGCUCAGGUGCUGGACGGUCGGGACUUUGACGUGAGACGUUUUGGAUACUCCAUCUCAGGUGGUCUGGACAUUGACAAUAAUCAAUAUCCAGAUAUUGCAGUGGGUUCUCUUAACGAUUCAGUGGUUCUCUUCAGGUCUUGUCCAGUCAUUCAUGUAAUCAGAAUUAUAUCUAUUAAUCCACAACACAUUGAUCUGGAGCAGCACAACUGCAAGGGCAGACAAGGAUUCUGUGUGGAGGUCAAGGCCUGCUUCUCCUUCAUGGCCCACCCAGAACACUACUCACCACACAUUACCCUGGUGGUGCAUUUCGAAGCUGACACCGAGCGUAGGAAGCUGGGCCUCCCGCACCGCGUUAAUUUCCUGGGCCGCAGUUCACUUGAGCCCGAGUACACUCAGACAGAGGAAGUGGAGCUGCAUAGCCAGCGUCACCCCGUGUGCACCACCGCUGUCUUCCAACUCCAUGAAAGUAUCCAGGACAAACUGCGUCCCAUCUCGAUGGCAAUAACCCAUACUAUCAAGCCAGUGCCGCCACGCAGACACUCAGCCAAGAGGCUGGAGAAGCUGGCACCUGUGCUGAGUGUCUCCCCCUCCAACACACUGCACUCUGAGGUGAACUUCCUGCGAGAGGGAUGUGGCACUGACAAAAUCUGCCAGAGCAACUUGAAGCUGAGCUACCAGUUUGGAACACGACCCCUGACCUCCGACCUCUUCACCCCUCUGCCAAAAGAUGAGGACGAUGUACAGGUGUUCUCUCUGUCAGACCAGCGGCUGGUGGUGCUGGAGAUCACCGUCACCAACAUGCCCUCUGACCCCCUUCACCCCGAGGAGGACGGAGACGAUGCUCAUGCUGCUCAGCUGAUUAUCUCCCUGCCAAACACUCUGUCGUACGCCGGCUCCAGGGUCCCAACUCAGAUGAGAUGUCAAGCGAACCAGAAUGGCUCCCAAGUUGAAUGUGACCUGGGAAACCCCGUCAAACGAGAUACUAAGCUGAAAUUCUCCAUCAACUUGAGCACAUCCAACAUCACCAUUGAGACGACUGAGCUGACAGCAGAUCUCCUCCUGACAACCAUCAGCGAGCAGCCUGACCUGGUCCCAGCCACUGCAUUUGCUAAAGUUGUGAUAGAGCUCCCCCUUUCUGUCAGUGGGCUCGCUCGUCCUCACCAGCUCUUCUUCAGCGGAACAGUGAUGGGAGAGAGUGCCAUGACCAGCCUGGAGGACAUCGGCAGCCCUGUGGAUUUUGAGUUUGUGGUGGCGAAUCCCGGACAAGCCCUGCAGACACUCGGCUCGGCCUUCCUGAACAUCAUGUGGCCCUACGAGCUGGCCAAUGGGAAGUGGCUCCUGUAUCCUGCGAGCCUGAAGUUUGAGGGUCACCCAGACACACACUGCAUCCCCUCAGCAGCAAUGAAUCCUCUGAAGCUGCAGAGGUCCUCACCUGCAGAGCUUCCACAGUCUGUCAACCCCAAGGCUGGGCGAGCGCGCCGCUCCCACCCAGAGGACGAAGGUCAAGUGAUGACAAAAGGCAGCGUGGGACGAACUACCCCAGCUGUGGCAGCUUCAGAGAGACGCAAGUCGCUAAAAUUGGACUGUCUCCUGGGAUCAGCACGUUGUGUCCUGUUCCAGUGUCCCCUCCACAGCUUCUCUGGUCAGGCUGUCCUCAGGAUCCACGCCCGGCUGUGGAACAGCAGUUUCAUAGAGGAGUUCCCAGCAGUCAGUGCUCUGGAGCUGCUGGUCAGAGCCAACAUCACUGUCAAGUCCAGCAUCAAGCAUCUGGUCCUCAAGGAAGCUGCUGCUCAGGUACCAGUGAUGAUCUACCCUGAACCUGGUCUGGCUGAUCAGUACUUGAUCCCCUGGUGGAUCAUCCUCAUAGCCGUGCUGGCAGGCAUCCUGCUGCUCACUCUAUUGGUCUGCCUCCUGUGGAAGUGUGGGUUCUUCAAACGCAGCGAACGGCGCCGACACUAUGAGACGGAGUACUUCCAUGCCCACUUGGGGGUCCAACCCUCGGAGGCGGAGAAGCAGGCAUCAGAACUAUAAUAUCAAAAAAAUAUUACUCUGGCCUGUUCUCCCCUCCUCCUCUCCCUUCAAGCGUGUGGCUUCUUCCGACGGGCCCACUACAAAGACAAAGUGCCUCAGUACCAUGCGGUGAAGAUUCCUCGCGAGGACAGGCCACAGUUCCAGACUGAGAAGUCGGGAGUCGUCCAUAAAAAGGAAUGGGCCACGCACUGGAGCGACGGGACCUCGUAACUCUGUUUAAAGCUCCGACUGACUGAAUUCAUGAAGAAAAAUCACCACAUGUGGCACUUGUUCUGUCUUUGCAUUGGAACUAACGGACUAAAAAAAUAAAAGUGCACAUAGACUGAGAUCAUGAAAUCCUGUGCACACUGUACUGCGUCAGUACAUACAUCAUGGUGGCCUGUUACACUGGAUCUAUAUUCUCCCAUACUCUACCCCAACGAUGGCCGGCCUUGGAUAGUUUAUUUAUAACGUAAAUCCUAACCAGUGUUUUGCAGAACGACCAGUUUAGCUGCUCAGAAUAUUUCACCGCCUGCAAUGACGCUCAUUUUCGUCAGUUUGAGUGGCACAACAAGGACGACAAGAAACCCACAUGUCAUAGAACUGCAUGAAUGCACAACAUUACAGUUUAGUAUUAGAUGCACAUACACUGGACACUGUUGAAGAAAACACCACUGCCCUCCGCAACUACAAAACUACUUUUUUGCCUUGACUACUGUAAGACUGACGACUGAUAUAGGCGAUGGAAAAAUAAAAUACAUUUUUUAUACAAA
Paralichthys olivaceus (Japanese flounder) is the source of this 4346-nucleotide RNA transcript. It is a transcript of the gene named integrin, alpha 7, with no coding region annotated. Lineage: Eukaryota; Metazoa; Chordata; Actinopteri; Pleuronectiformes; Paralichthyidae. The record is from RefSeq and is a predicted model, not a curated record.